This 572-nucleotide ribosomal RNA is filed under the name Curvularia eragrostidis. RNAcentral's name for it is "eukaryotic LSU rRNA". The stretch from base 203 to 356 matches the Rfam family "5.8S ribosomal RNA". Lineage: Eukaryota; Fungi; Ascomycota; Dothideomycetes; Pleosporales; Pleosporaceae. The record is from RNAcentral.
UGUAGCGACUGCGGAGGGACAUUACACAAAAAAUAUGAAGGCUGCAACCGCCAGUUUUGGCGGGGAAGCUGAAUUAUUUUUCACCCAUGUCUUUUGCGCACUUGUUGUUUCCUGGGCGGGUUCGCCCGCCACCAGGACCACACCAUAAACCUUUUUUAUGCAGUUGCAAUCAGCGUCAGUAUAACAAAUGUAAAUCAUUUACAACUUUCAACAACGGAUCUCUUGGUUCUGGCAUCGAUGAAGAACGCAGCGAAAUGCGAUACGUAGUGUGAAUUGCAGAAUUCAGUGAAUCAUCGAAUCUUUGAACGCACAUUGCGCCCUUUGGUAUUCCAAAGGGCAUGCCUGUUCGAGCGUCAUUUGUACCCUCAAGCUUUGCUUGGUGUUGGGCGUUUUGUCUUUGGCUUUUGCCCAAAGACUCGCCUUAAAACGAUUGGCAGCCGGCCUACUGGUUUCGGAGCGCAGCACAUUUUUGCGCUUGCAACUAGCUAAAGAGGCCAGCAAUCCAUCAAGACCUUCUUCUCACUUUUGACCUCGGAUCAGGUAGGGAUACCCGCUGAACUUAAGCAUAUAAA